UCCCACUCUCUCCUCUCGUCCUCUCCUCUCAUUUCUCUCUAAAACCUCUCCCUUCUCUCUAACCUUUCUCCUCUCUUCUCUCCUGCUUCCUCUCGGCCACCGCCGCCACCGCCACCUCCGCUACCGCCACGGCUCUUCCACUAAUUUUUUCCCUCUCCUUCUCCUCUUUCUCUCUAUCCUCCGUCAUCAACAACUAGGAAGAAAGGUAAAAGUUCUGAAAUCCCUUUUUGGUUUUUUUUCUCUCGUUUAACUGAGAUUCGGGCUAGCAUGUCAUCGCCGAAGGUUUCGGAGAACCCUCAAGUGACAUGCAGGUCCCGAUCUGUAAACCUAGGGUUGAAAAAAACCCUUUUUACUUCGUCGACCUAAUCUGCUCUGUUUUUUUUAUUUCUCAGUCAGGGGAUAUAAUUGAUGGUUGCGGUGGAGAAACAGAGAUAGAGAAAAUAAAACAGCAUGGUGAAAAAGGAUCCAGCUUCUUUUUUAGGUUUGUUUCUCAAUUAGUUGUCUAAGGAAUCAUUUAAUUUUAUUAUUGGGAUUAUAGUAUUCUAGAUGUUUUAAUUAAGUGCUAAUGUUAAAAUUUCAGCAAUCUGUUUAGUCAAAAAAAUCGUGCUUUAACUCGGUUAUACUGUGAGUUUCGUGAUUUUUCAAACCCCAGGUGAAAUAUAAUUAUAGGUUUUUCUGUUUAUCAUGAUUUCCAGCAACUUUUAAGAGAUUUUAAAGCUUAUUUUAAGGGUUUGUUAGCUUUAUGAAUCGUUUACUCGAUCAGUCGCGAUGAACAUUGGAAUCGAGGGUAGUUUUAAGGGAGUAUAAAUACAACAAUAUGUAUGUGUGAAUGUUAUGUGAAGGAACGUUUGAAUGAUUACCUUUGAAUCCAAACUUAUUUUUUGUCGUGUUUCAGGUGGUAGUCCCUUGCGAGUGACAACAAAGUGAAUGACGGCAGAAACUGUUGUACUUAGGUUUAGCUUGUGUUUUGUAACGUGCUGUAAUAACUUUAUUUUCUUUUAUAUUUUGGACUUGGACUUGGGGUGCAGGAAUUUUUUUCGUAAAAACCACUCCCCUCUCCCUUUCUCCUCUUGAUUGUCUAUUUAAAUCAGCGAAGGGGCUACCACCUUCCCUCUCCC
This 1118-nucleotide long non-coding RNA is filed under the name Linum usitatissimum (flax). RNAcentral's name for it is "long non-coding RNA (LUSI_LNC005975)". Lineage: Eukaryota; Viridiplantae; Streptophyta; Magnoliopsida; Malpighiales; Linaceae. The record is from RNAcentral.